CCUACGGGAGACUGCAGUGGGGAAUAUUGGGCAAUGGGCGCAAGCCUGACCCAGCAACGCCGCGUGAAGGAAGAAGGCUUUCGGGUUGUAAACUUCUUUUCUCAGGGACGAAGAAAGUGACGGUACCUGAGGAAUAAGCCACGGCUAACUACGUGCCAGCAGCCGCGGUAAUACGUAGGUGGCAAGCGUUAUCCGGAUUUACUGGGAGGAAAGGGCGUGUAGGCGGGGAUGCAAGUCAGAUGUGAAAACCACGGGCUCAACCUGUGGCCUGCGUUUGAAACUGUUUUUCGUGAGUACUGGAGAGGCAGACGGAAUUCCUAGUGUAGCGGUGAAAUGCGUAGAGAUUAGGAGGAACACCAGUGGCGAAGGCGGUCUGCUGGACAGCAACUGACGCUGAGGCGCGAAAGCGUGGGGAGCAAACAGGAUUAGAUACCCGGGUAGUC
RNAcentral lists this ribosomal RNA (443 nucleotides) under uncultured bacterium. Its description in RNAcentral is "partial 16S ribosomal RNA". It matches the Rfam family "Bacterial small subunit ribosomal RNA", at positions 338 to 795 of the family's 1533-position model. The record is from RNAcentral.